UCGGACGGUAACAUUCCCUUCGGGGAGAUGACGAGUGGCGCACGGGUGCGUAACGCGUAUGCAAUCUGCCUCGUACUGGGGUAUAGCCCAGGGAAACUUGGAUUAAUCCCCCAUGGCAUGUAAGCGUGGCAUCACGUUUACAUUAAAGGUCACGGUACGAGAUGAGCAUGCGUCCUAUUAGCUAGUUGGUGCGGUAACGGCGCACCAAGGCGACGAUAGGUAGGGGCCCUGAGAGGGGGAUCCCCCACACUGGUACUGAGACACGGACCAGACUCCUACGGGAGGCAGCAGUGAGGAAUAUUGGACAAUGGGCGAGAGCCUGAUCCAGCCAUGCCGCGUGCAGGAAGACAGCCCUAUGGGUCGUAAACUGCUUUUGUACGGGAAGAAACACCCCCUUGCGAGGGGGCUUGACGGUACCGUAAGAAUAAGGAUCGGCUAACUCCGUGCCAGCAGCCGCGGUAAUACGGAGGAUCCGAGCGUUAUCCGGAAUCAUUGGGUUUAAAGGGUCCGUAGGUGGGCCGUUAAGUCAGGGGUGAAAUCCCGCAGCUCAACUGUGGAAUUGCCUUUGAUACUGGCGGUCUUGAGUCGUUGUGAAGUAGCUGGAAU
RNAcentral lists this ribosomal RNA (606 nucleotides) under Aequorivita viscosa. RNAcentral's name for it is "bacterial SSU rRNA". It matches the Rfam family "Bacterial small subunit ribosomal RNA", at positions 62 to 667 of the family's 1533-position model. Lineage: Bacteria; Pseudomonadati; Bacteroidota; Flavobacteriia; Flavobacteriales; Flavobacteriaceae. The record is from RNAcentral.